GAUGAACGCUGGCGGCGUGCCUAAUACAUGCAAGUCGAGCGAACAGACGAGGAGCUUGCUCCUCUGACGUUAGCGGCGGACGGGUGAGUAACACGUGGAUAACCUACCUAUAAGACUGGGAUAACUUCGGGAAACCGGAGCUAAUACCGGAUAAUAUAUUGAACCGCAUGGUUCAAUAGUGAAAGACGGUUUUGCUGUCACUUAUAGAUGGAUCCGCGCCGCAUUAGCUAGUUGGUAAGGUGACGGCUUACCAAGGCAACGAUGCGUAGCCGACCUGAGAGGGUGAUCGGCCACACUGGAGCUGAGACACGGUCCAGACUCCUACGGGAGGCAGCAGUAGGGAAUCUUCCGCAAUGGGCGAAAGCCUGACGGAGCAACGCCGCGUGAGUGAUGAAGGUCUUCGGAUCGUAAAACUCUGUUAUUAGGGAAGAACAAAUGUGUAAGUAACUAUGCACGUCUUGACGGUACCUAAUCAGAAAGCCACGGCUAACUACGUG
Molecule: ribosomal RNA, 497 nt
Filed under: uncultured bacterium
Lineage: Bacteria
Description: partial 16S ribosomal RNA
Rfam family: Bacterial small subunit ribosomal RNA
Source: RNAcentral